Long non-coding RNA from Brassica rapa (field mustard), 1528 nucleotides. RefSeq lists it as uncharacterized. The record is from RefSeq and is a predicted model, not a curated record. NCBI's taxonomy places the organism in Eukaryota, Viridiplantae, Streptophyta, Magnoliopsida, Brassicales, Brassicaceae.
UAGAUGAGUCCUUACCAUUAAUCCUUAGCAUUAUUUCAAUAUAAUAUUAUUAUUUUGGUUUAAUUAGCUAGGGAUCAAUCCUUCAAGAAGGAUUGGAAGGACUCAAUCCUUAACACACGUGUCUCUCUCUAUCUCUCCUCCCACGCUCUCUCUCUCGAUCUCUCCUUGCUCCAUCAUCUCCCACCAUGAUCCUAUCUCUCUCUCUCUCUCUUUACUUCAUUUCUCUCACUCGGACACUGCAAAUUGCCAGUCGAGAUUUGUCACCGCCUGUUUUAUAAUUCCUCUUCUCCCUUUUCGUUUUUUCCCCGUAUCAAUGGAUCCUACAAUUCCUCUUCAAUCAUAUUUGUGAGUUUGUUUUGGUGUUACUGCAAUCAUGACGUGGGUUGUGUAGCUACUUAAAUUGGUGCUGGAAGAGUUCUCUUUCCCUUUCUCUGCACUAGAUACUGCAUUGAAGUUAGGAUUUUUAGCUAUGCUAUUGGGGAUAUCGUGUUUUGUGUGUGUUGAAUUGGCAGGAGGGUACUCUGACUUUGGUUGAAAUUUUCAUACGUAGUCUUGCUUUGUUUUCUCUUCAUAAAGUUUUGUCCUUUCUAUGGUGAACGUGAAGCUCUUUUUCUGUUUUAUCUGGAUUCUGUUAUCAGUCAAAAAUCUCAUGAAAUGAAAUUGCAUAAAUCUUAUUAGGUGUUUGAAAAAGCUUGAAUCUUUUAUGUGUUGUUCCUUGAAGUUAGGUUGUUAAAGAAAUUAGAAUUUUUGCUAAGGUUUUUUUUUUUUAAAUGACUUGUUUGUGUCUGGCAGGGGAAGUGAAAUGGCUCUUAUCAAUUUGGAAGCUCAUGUGUUGCUGCUCAGUGGGGGAUUCGUCGUCCUCAUGUUGCAGUCAAAGCUUCUUUUUAUCCAACCAGAUUGGAAUCUCACCAUGACAACAGUUGCAUCAGCCAAAUAAAUUGUUUGGGAGCUUCACAGUCGAGUAUGUUUUCACAUGGCUCCUUGCCCUUCUUGUCACUUGUAAUGGGACAGUCCCGUAAUUCACAUUCUCGUAGAGGAGCUCGCUUCACCGUUAGGCCUUAGGUUGAGUAAACAAAAUAUACUUUUGAGUUUAUGUCGUGGAUCCCAAUAACGUCGGAACGUUACGGAUGCAGUGGAAGUGAAUGGAGGGAUUAUUGUGUCGGUGGUGAAGGAGGAAGAUUGGUUUAAGAAGCAGAGGAGCCGAGUGAAAGUGAUUGACUAUGGCGAAUCUGUCAUCAUGCCUGGUCUUGUUGAUGUGUAAGUUUGAUCUUAAACCACAUCACCAAGGACUCGGUUCUGUGUAGUUUAUGCUUCCUUCUGGAACAAUGGCUGCUGCUGCUGGUAAUCAAGUCAUGUUUCAAUUACUUUGAGUUUCGGUACUUAAACAUUGGCUCUUUCUUUGAAAGUUAGUUUCCUAGUAAAGUUGGCUCUUUCCUUGACCAAUGAAACAUAAACUCUUUCUUUUUUUUUGAACUUCAUGAAUACAAAACGCUAAGGACUCUAAUUCAAGUAACACCAUUGGACUUGA